CAGCAGCCGCGGGAACACGGAGGGUGCAAGCGUUAUCCGGAUUUAUUGGGUUUAAAGGGUCCGUAGGCGGAUCUGUAAGUCAGUGGUGAAAUCUCACAGCUUAACUGUGAAACUGCCAUUGAUACUGCAGGUCUUGAGUAAAUUUGAAGUGGCUGGAAUAAGUAGUGUAGCGGUGAAAUGCAUAGAUAUUACUUAGAACACCAAUUGCGAAGGCAGGUCACUAAGAUUUAACUGACGCUGAUGGACGAAAGCGUGGGGAGCGAACAGGAUUAGAUACCCCCGUAGUCCCUGUCUCUUAUAA
RNAcentral lists this ribosomal RNA (301 nucleotides) under uncultured bacterium. Its description in RNAcentral is "partial 16S ribosomal RNA". It matches the Rfam family "Bacterial small subunit ribosomal RNA", at positions 509 to 809 of the family's 1533-position model. The record is from RNAcentral.